This 107-nucleotide small nuclear RNA is filed under the name Dasypus novemcinctus (nine-banded armadillo). The record is from RNAcentral. Lineage: Eukaryota; Metazoa; Chordata; Mammalia; Cingulata; Dasypodidae.
GUACUUGCUUUGGCAGGAUAUAUACUAAAACUGGAAUGAUACAGAGAAGAUUAGCGUGGCCCUUGUGCAAGGAUGACAGGUAAAUUUGUGAAGCAUUUCAUAUUUUU